This is an unclassified non-coding RNA of Papio anubis (olive baboon), 148 nucleotides long. It matches the Rfam family "Metazoan signal recognition particle RNA". Rfam says of the family: The signal recognition particle (SRP) is a universally conserved ribonucleoprotein. It is involved in the co-translational targeting of proteins to membranes. The eukaryotic SRP consists of a 300-nucleotide 7S RNA and six proteins: SRPs 72, 68, 54, 19, 14, and 9. The record is from Ensembl. Lineage: Eukaryota; Metazoa; Chordata; Mammalia; Primates; Cercopithecidae.
GCCAGGCAUGGUGGCGUGCACCUGUAAUCCCAGCUACUUAGGAGGCUGAGGCAGGAGAAUUGCUUGAGCCCAGGAGGCAGAGGUUGCAGUGAGCCAAGAUCUUGCCACUGCACUCCAGCCUGGGCGACAGAGCAAGACUCUGUCUCAA